Molecule: ribosomal RNA, 303 nt
Filed under: uncultured bacterium
Lineage: Bacteria
Description: partial 16S ribosomal RNA
Rfam family: Bacterial small subunit ribosomal RNA
Source: RNAcentral
AGCAGUAGCCGCGGUAAUACGUAGAGUGCAAGCGUUAAUCGGAAUUACUGGGCGUAAAGCGUGCGCAGGCGGUUAUAUAAGACAGAUGUGAAAUCCCCGGGCUCAACCUGGGAACUGCAUUUGUGACUGUAUAGCUAGAGUACGGCAGAGGGGGAUGGAAUUCCGCGUGUAGCAGUGAAAUGCGUAGAUAUGCGGAGGAACACCGAUGGCGAAGGCAAUCCCCUGGGCCUGUACUGACGCUCAUGCACGAAAGCGUGGGGAGCAAACAGGAUUAGAUACCCCAGUAGUCCCUGUCUCUUAUAC